RNAcentral lists this ribosomal RNA (301 nucleotides) under uncultured bacterium. RNAcentral describes it as "partial 16S ribosomal RNA". It matches the Rfam family "Bacterial small subunit ribosomal RNA", at positions 509 to 807 of the family's 1533-position model. The record is from RNAcentral.
CAGCCGCCACGGUAAAACGGAGGGGGCUAGCGUUGUUCGGAAUUACUGGGCGUAAAGCGCACGUAGGCGGCUUGGUAAGUUAGAGGUGAAAGCCUGGAGCUCAACUCCAGAAUUGCCUUUAAGACUGCCGAGCUAGCAGGUGAGAGAGGUAAGUGGAAUUCCGAGUGUAGAGGUGAAAUUCGUAGAUAUUCGGAAGAACACCAGUGGCGAAGGCGGCUUACUGGCUCAUACUGGACGCUGAGGUGCGAAAGCGUGGGGAGCAAACAGGAUUAGAUACCCGUGUAGUCCCUGUCUCUUAUAC